GAUGAACGCUGGCGGCGUGCCUAAUACAUGCAAGUCGAGCGAACGGACGAGAAGCUUGCUUCUCUGAUGUUAGCGGCGGACGGGUGAGUAACACGUGGAUAACCUACCUAUAAGACUGGGAUAACUUCGGGAAACCGGAGCUAAUACCGGAUAAUAUUUUGAACCGCAUGGUUCAAAAGUGAAAGACGGUCUUGCUGUCACUUAUAGAUGGAUCCGCGCUGCAUUAGCUAGUUGGUAAGGUAACGGCUUACCAAGGCAACGAUGCAUAGCCGACCUGAGAGGGUGAUCGGCCACACUGGAACUGAGACACGGUCCAGACUCCUACGGGAGGCAGCAGUAGGGAAUCGUCCGCAAUAGGCGAAAGCCUGACGGAGCAACGCCGCAUGAGUGAUGAAGGUCUUCGGAUCGUAAAACUCUGUUAUUAGGGAAGAACAUAUGUGUAAGUAACUAUGCACAUCUUGACGGUACCUAAUCAGAAAGCCACGGCUAACUACGUG
This 497-nucleotide ribosomal RNA is filed under the name uncultured bacterium. RNAcentral describes it as "partial 16S ribosomal RNA". It matches the Rfam family "Bacterial small subunit ribosomal RNA", at positions 28 to 507 of the family's 1533-position model. The record is from RNAcentral.